Non-coding RNA from Ceratotherium simum simum (southern white rhinoceros), 421 nucleotides. The record is from RefSeq and is a predicted model, not a curated record. Lineage: Eukaryota; Metazoa; Chordata; Mammalia; Perissodactyla; Rhinocerotidae.
GAAAAACCAACAACAUGAAGGUACACUAGAGCAAGAAGUUCAAGGAAAAAAAGAAUGGAAUUCAGAAAUAUCAAGAAAAACUACAAGUUAUAUAACAAAGUGAAGUCUCAUAGAGUUGAGCAUUAUGAAGAACAAUACCACAAAAUGCCAAAUACGCAGCAAAGUCCUAGAAAACAGGGUGGUAUCCUGCAUUCUGCCAGGUGCUGGCCUGCAAAGCACAGGCUUACUCUGGACAGUGUUGUUGGAUUUGGAUUCUAUUAAACCAGGAUCAGGCUUGUUCCAGCACUGCCUGCACUUAUAACAGGUCCACGUCUCUACAGCCUGAUCAUAAAAGGAUGGCACACUAACCCACGGAGGUAAAAACUCUGUCUCAGAGGACUCAAGGGAACAAAAAUUCUUAAGGUUAGUGUCCUUAAAAAAA